RNAcentral lists this ribosomal RNA (445 nucleotides) under uncultured bacterium. Its description in RNAcentral is "partial 16S ribosomal RNA". It matches the Rfam family "Bacterial small subunit ribosomal RNA", at positions 354 to 796 of the family's 1533-position model. The record is from RNAcentral.
GUGAGGAAUAUUGGUCAAUGGACGUAAGUCUGAACCAGCCAAGUAGCGUGCAGGACGAAGGCCCUAUGGGUUGUAAACUGCUUUUAUGCGGGGGUAAAGUGAGUGACGUGUCAUUCAUUGCAAGUACCGCAAGAAUAAGGACCGGCUAAUUCCGUGCCAGCAGCCGCGGUAAUACGGAAGGUCCUGGUGUUAUCCGGAUUUAUUGGGUUUAAAGGGAGCGUAGGCCGUCAGGCAAGCGUGUUGUGAAAUGUCGUGGCUCAACCAUGGACUUGCAGCGCGAACUGCCCGACUUGAGUGCGCAGAAAGCAGGCGGAAUUCGUGGUGUAGCGGUGAAAUGCUUAGAUAUCACGAAGAACUCCGAUUGCGAAGGCAGCUUACUGUAGCGCCACUGACGCUGAAGCUCGAAAGUGCGGGUAUCGAACAGGAUUAGAAACCCGAGUAGUCC